RNAcentral lists this ribosomal RNA (2803 nucleotides) under Escherichia coli 2-011-08_S3_C1. RNAcentral describes it as "bacterial LSU rRNA". It matches the Rfam family "Bacterial large subunit ribosomal RNA". The record is from RNAcentral. Lineage: Bacteria; Pseudomonadati; Pseudomonadota; Gammaproteobacteria; Enterobacterales; Enterobacteriaceae.
AUAACCGGCGAUUUCCGAAUGGGGAAACCCAGUGUGUUUCGACACACUAUCAUUAACUGAAUCCAUAGGUUAAUGAGGCGAACCGGGGGAACUGAAACAUCUAAGUACCCCGAGGAAAAGAAAUCAACCGAGAUUCCCCCAGUAGCGGCGAGCGAACGGGGAGCAGCCCAGAGCCUGAAUCAGUGUGUGUGUUAGUGGAAGCGUCUGGAAAGGCGCGCGAUACAGGGUGACAGCCCCGUACACAAAAAUGCACAUGCUGUGAGCUCGAUGAGUAGGGCGGGACACGUGGUAUCCUGUCUGAAUAUGGGGGGACCAUCCUCCAAGGCUAAAUACUCCUGACUGACCGAUAGUGAACCAGUACCGUGAGGGAAAGGCGAAAAGAACCCCGGCGAGGGGAGUGAAAAAGAACCUGAAACCGUGUACGUACAAGCAGUGGGAGCACGCUUAGGCGUGUGACUGCGUACCUUUUGUAUAAUGGGUCAGCGACUUAUAUUCUGUAGCAAGGUUAACCGAAUAGGGGAGCCGAAGGGAAACCGAGUCUUAACUGGGCGUUAAGUUGCAGGGUAUAGACCCGAAACCCGGUGAUCUAGCCAUGGGCAGGUUGAAGGUUGGGUAACACUAACUGGAGGACCGAACCGACUAAUGUUGAAAAAUUAGCGGAUGACUUGUGGCUGGGGGUGAAAGGCCAAUCAAACCGGGAGAUAGCUGGUUCUCCCCGAAAGCUAUUUAGGUAGCGCCUCGUGAAUUCAUCUCCGGGGGUAGAGCACUGUUUCGGCAAGGGGGUCAUCCCGACUUACCAACCCGAUGCAAACUGCGAAUACCGGAGAAUGUUAUCACGGGAGACACACGGCGGGUGCUAACGUCCGUCGUGAAGAGGGAAACAACCCAGACCGCCAGCUAAGGUCCCAAAGUCAUGGUUAAGUGGGAAACGAUGUGGGAAGGCCCAGACAGCCAGGAUGUUGGCUUAGAAGCAGCCAUCAUUUAAAGAAAGCGUAAUAGCUCACUGGUCGAGUCGGCCUGCGCGGAAGAUGUAACGGGGCUAAACCAUGCACCGAAGCUGCGGCAGCGACGCUGAUGCGUUGUUGGGUAGGGGAGCGUUCUGUAAGCCUGCGAAGGUGUGCUGUGAGGCAUGCUGGAGGUAUCAGAAGUGCGAAUGCUGACAUAAGUAACGAUAAAGCGGGUGAAAAGCCCGCUCGCCGGAAGACCAAGGGUUCCUGUCCAACGUUAAUCGGGGCAGGGUGAGUCGACCCCUAAGGCGAGGCCGAAAGGCGUAGUCGAUGGGAAACAGGUUAAUAUUCCUGUACUUGGUGUUACUGCGAAGGGGGGACGGAGAAGGCUAUGUUGGCCGGGCGACGGUUGUCCCGGUUUAAGCGUGUAGGCUGGUUUUCCAGGCAAAUCCGGAAAAUCAAGGCUGAGGCGUGAUGACGAGGCACUACGGUGCUGAAGCAACAAAUGCCCUGCUUCCAGGAAAAGCCUCUAAGCAUCAGGUAACAUCAAAUCGUACCCCAAACCGACACAGGUGGUCAGGUAGAGAAUACCAAGGCGCUUGAGAGAACUCGGGUGAAGGAACUAGGCAAAAUGGUGCCGUAACUUCGGGAGAAGGCACGCUGAUAUGUAGGUGAGGUCCCUCGCGGAUGGAGCUGAAAUCAGUCGAAGAUACCAGCUGGCUGCAACUGUUUAUUAAAAACACAGCACUGUGCAAACACGAAAGUGGACGUAUACGGUGUGACGCCUGCCCGGUGCCGGAAGGUUAAUUGAUGGGGUUAGCGCAAGCGAAGCUCUUGAUCGAAGCCCCGGUAAACGGCGGCCGUAACUAUAACGGUCCUAAGGUAGCGAAAUUCCUUGUCGGGUAAGUUCCGACCUGCACGAAUGGCGUAAUGAUGGCCAGGCUGUCUCCACCCGAGACUCAGUGAAAUUGAACUCGCUGUGAAGAUGCAGUGUACCCGCGGCAAGACGGAAAGACCCCGUGAACCUUUACUAUAGCUUGACACUGAACAUUGAGCCUUGAUGUGUAGGAUAGGUGGGAGGCUUAGAAGUGUGGACGCCAGUCUGCAUGGAGCCGACCUUGAAAUACCACCCUUUAAUGUUUGAUGUUCUAACGUUGACCCGUAAUCCGGGUUGCGGACAGUGUCUGGUGGGUAGUUUGACUGGGGCGGUCUCCUCCUAAAGAGUAACGGAGGAGCACGAAGGUUGGCUAAUCCUGGUCGGACAUCAGGAGGUUAGUGCAAUGGCAUAAGCCAGCUUGACUGCGAGCGUGACGGCGCGAGCAGGUGCGAAAGCAGGUCAUAGUGAUCCGGUGGUUCUGAAUGGAAGGGCCAUCGCUCAACGGAUAAAAGGUACUCCGGGGAUAACAGGCUGAUACCGCCCAAGAGUUCAUAUCGACGGCGGUGUUUGGCACCUCGAUGUCGGCUCAUCACAUCCUGGGGCUGAAGUAGGUCCCAAGGGUAUGGCUGUUCGCCAUUUAAAGUGGUACGCGAGCUGGGUUUAGAACGUCGUGAGACAGUUCGGUCCCUAUCUGCCGUGGGCGCUGGAGAACUGAGGGGGGCUGCUCCUAGUACGAGAGGACCGGAGUGGACGCAUCACUGGUGUUCGGGUUGUCAUGCCAAUGGCACUGCCCGGUAGCUAAAUGCGGAAGAGAUAAGUGCUGAAAGCAUCUAAGCACGAAACUUGCCCCGAGAUGAGUUCUCCCUGACCCUUUAAGGGUCCUGAAGGAACGUUGAAGACGACGACGUUGAUAGGCCGGGUGUGUAAGCGCAGCGAUGCGUUGAGCUAACCGGUACUAAUGAACCGUGAGGCUUAACCU